RNAcentral lists this ribosomal RNA (298 nucleotides) under uncultured bacterium. Its description in RNAcentral is "partial 16S ribosomal RNA". It matches the Rfam family "Bacterial small subunit ribosomal RNA", at positions 334 to 630 of the family's 1533-position model. The record is from RNAcentral.
CCGACCUACGGGGCGCAGCAGUGAGGAAUAUUGGUCAAUGGGCGAGAGCCUGAACCAGCCAAGUCGCGUGAGGGAAGACGGUCCUAUGGAUUGUAAACCUCUUUUGCCGGGGAGCAAAAAGCGGUACGUGUACCGCAUCGAGAGUACCCGGAGAAAAAGCAUCGGCUAACUCCGUGCCAGCAGCCGCGGUAAUACGGAGGAUGCGAGCGUUAUCCGGCUUUAUUGGGUUUAAAGGGUGCGCAGGCGGCGCGUUAAGUCAGCGGUAAAAUUUCGGGGCUAAACCCCGACGAGCGGUUGA